GAAAGUCUUCAUGUAGUAAGUGAAGAGCUGCCGUCUUCUCUAUAGUUGAUUCACUACAGGUGAAAAUAAUGUCACUGCUUUUCUUGGGGAUGAUGAUCGUCUCUUUCCAAACUGGAUCCUGUGAGGAUUUACUGAAACCAUUUAAAGAUGUGAUGACGACUUUGGAAGGAGACGCUGUGACUCUGUCCUGUAACUAUUCAGCCUCUGUGGACUAUUUGUUCUGGUACCAGCAGAAGUCCAGUUCAUCUCCACAACUUCUGAUGGCAGAAUAUUCAGAAGAAACAGAGAAGUUGUCUUUUAGACACAACAAGACAACAAAGGAGUUUCAUCUGGAGAUCUCCUCUGCUGCAGUGUCUGACUCUGCUGUGUACUACUGUGCUCUGAGGCCCACAGUGACAGGAAACACCUCAACUCUGUACAAAAACCUCUGGAGCAAAGACAACACAAUGCUCCACAGCAUCCACCAGAGGGAGACACUGUCAUAAACUGAUGUUUCGGGAUGGAACUUUUAUUUUUAUUUUUUUCACUUAUGAGAAACAAACAAAAUUCCAUUUCCAACACUUUAAUUUCAAAUAGUUCACUCUCAGUUUUUCUACAUCUCUGUAUUUCAAACUAAAUUUAAAACGGCGGCAACAUGAGCAAACAAUAAAUAAAACAUUAUCUACUAACUGUCAGUGUUAAAACAAUGGAUUUUAAACCAAUCAGACCUAUGGAAAUAACGUAUUUUAACUAUUUGCUACAAACAAAGUUGGUUAAUGAGUCUGGAAGAAGCCGUGGGUCUUCACAAAUUGAGAUUGAAUGCUUAAUUAAUUAAAAUGUAUUAAUCUAAUUAAUAUAUGCUAUGUUUAUCACAUAUUAGGAUAAUAUUAUUAUUAUCAUCAUUAUUACAGUACAGGACAAGGUUCUGUGGACUCAUGGGUCUAUUAUUAAACGGUCUGGUACAUCUGCAACAUCUGGAGUCAAAUGUCGGCUGAUGUUGCAAAGGUGUUUGUUGUUUCAGGGCGAAAUGCUGUAAAUGAGGGAAAGUCAGAUCCUGAAGGAGAAUGUUACUGUAGCUCAU
Non-coding RNA from Betta splendens (Siamese fighting fish), 1060 nucleotides. Lineage: Eukaryota; Metazoa; Chordata; Actinopteri; Anabantiformes; Osphronemidae. The record is from the annotation of a RefSeq genome assembly.